Molecule: ribosomal RNA, 371 nt
Filed under: uncultured bacterium
Lineage: Bacteria
Description: bacterial SSU rRNA
Rfam family: Bacterial small subunit ribosomal RNA
Source: RNAcentral
AGAGGGGGCAAGCGUUAUUCGGAAUUAUUGGGCGUAAAGGGCGCGUAGGCGGCUUUGCAAGUGACGGGUGAAAGCCCUCGGCUUAACCGAGGAACUGCCUGUCAGACUGUGAGGCUUGAGACCGGGAGAGGUGAGUGGAAUUCCCAGUGUAGCGGUGAAAUGCGUAGAUAUUGGGAGGAACACCAGUGGCGAAGGCGGCUCACUGGACCGGAACUGACGCUGAUGCGCGAAAGCGUGGGGAGCAAACAGGAUUAGAUACCCUGGUAGUCCACGCCGUAAACGAUGAGUGCUUGGUGUAGCGGGUAUCGACCCCUGCUGUGCCGAAGUCAACACAUUAAGCACUCCGCCUGGGGAGUACGGUCGCAAGACUG